GGAAGGGUGGCCGAGCGGUUUAAGGCAGCGGUCUUGAAAACCGCCGUGGCAGCGAUGUCACCGUGGGUUCGAAUCCCACCCCUUCCGCCA
RNAcentral lists this transfer RNA (90 nucleotides) under Arenimonas fontis. RNAcentral's name for it is "Arenimonas sp. 3729k tRNA-Ser". It matches the Rfam family "tRNA". Rfam says of the family: Transfer RNA (tRNA) molecules are approximately 80 nucleotides in length. Their secondary structure includes four short double-helical elements and three loops (D, anti-codon, and T loops). The record is from RNAcentral. Lineage: Bacteria; Pseudomonadati; Pseudomonadota; Gammaproteobacteria; Lysobacterales; Lysobacteraceae.